GCCAAGAAGUUCAUAAAAUUGAGGAAGGAAGAUAAAAAUGCUUAGUUCAGGGUUGGAGCCCUAAUACCGACUAGCUGGGGAGAAACUCAGCUUAGGGUUUUAAAACCCAAAUGCUGAUUGCAAGAAAAAGCUCAGUUUAGGGUUUAAAACCCUAAUGCUAGCUGAAUGGGAAAAGUUCAGUUUAGGGUUUAAAACUCUAAUGCUGACUAAAAGGAAAAGCUCAGUUUAGGGUUUAAAACCCUAAUGCUGGCGGAAUGGAAAAAAGUUCAGUUUAGGGUUUAAAACCCUAAUGCUGACUAAAAGGAAAAUUCAGUUUAGGGUUUAAAACCCUAAUGCUGACUGCAUUGAAAAGCUCAGUUUAGGGUUUAAAACCCUAAUGCUGGCUGAAUGGAAAAAAGUUCAGUUUAGGGUUUAAAACCCUAAUGCUGACUGAAAGGAAAAUUCAGUUUAGGGUUUAAAACCCUAAUGCUGACUGCAUUGAAAAGCUCAGUUUAGGGUGUAAAACCCUAAUGCUGGCUGAAUGGAAAAAAGUUCAGUUUAGGGUUUAAAACCCUAAUGCUGACUGAAAGGAAAAUUCAGUUUAGGGUUUAAAACCUUAAUGCUGACUGCAUGGAAAAGCUCAGUUUAGGGUUUAAAACCCUAAUGCUGGCUGAAUGAAAAAAAGUUCAGUUUAGGGUUUAAAACCCUAAUGCUGACUGAAAGGAAAAGCUCAGUUUAGGGUUUAAAACCCUAAUGCUGGCGGAAUGGAAAAAAGUUCAGUUUAGGGUUUAAAACCCUAAUGCUGACUAAAAGGAAAAAUUCAGUUUAGGGUUUAAAACCCUAAUGCUGACUGCAUUGAAAAGCUCAGUUUAGGGUUUAAUGCUGGCGGAAUGGAAAAAAGUUCAGUUUAGGGUUUAAAACCCCAAUGCUGACUAAAAGGAAAAAUUCAGUUUAGGGUUUAAAACCCCAAUGCUGACUGCAUUGAAAAGCUCAGUUUAGGGUUUAAAACCCUAGUGCUGGCGGAAUGGAAAAAAGUUCAGUUUAGGGUUUAAAACCCUAAUGCUGACUGAAAGGAAAAUUCAGUUUAGGGUUUAAAACCCUAAUGCUGACUGCAUUGAAAAGCUCAGUUUAGGGUUUAAAACCCUAAUGCUGGCGGAAUGGAAAAAAGUUCAGUUUAGGGUUUAAAACCCUAAUGCUGACUAAAAGGAAAAGCUCAGUUUAGGGUUUAAAACCCUAAUGCUGGCGGAAUGGAAAAAAGUUCAGUUUAGGGUUUAAAACCCUAAUGCUGACUGAAAGGAAAAUUCAGUUUAGGGUUUAAAACCCUAAUGCUGACUGCAUUGAAAAGCUCAGUUUAGGGUUUAAAACCCUAAUGCUGGCUGAAUGAAAAAAAAUUCAGUUUAGGGUUUAAAACCCUAAUGCUGACUAAA
Molecule: long non-coding RNA, 1406 nt
Filed under: Nicotiana tabacum (common tobacco)
Lineage: Eukaryota; Viridiplantae; Streptophyta; Magnoliopsida; Solanales; Solanaceae
Description: long non-coding RNA (NTAB_LNC006699)
Source: RNAcentral